Molecule: transfer RNA, 76 nt
Filed under: Planctomycetota bacterium
Lineage: Bacteria; Pseudomonadati; Planctomycetota
Description: Planctomycetes bacterium tRNA-Gly
Rfam family: tRNA
About the family: Transfer RNA (tRNA) molecules are approximately 80 nucleotides in length.
Source: RNAcentral
GCGGGUGUAGCUCAGUUGGUAGAGCACGACGUUGCCAACGUCGUUGUCGUGGGUUCGAAUCCCAUCACCCGCUCCU